UUUCCAUAUUCUCUCUUUGUGUGUGUUUGGGUUUCUUCUGAGGACUCCAGUUUUCUCCAACAGUCCAAAAACAUGGAGAUCAGGUAAAUUGAAUGCUUUAAAUUGAUUUGUAUAUGUAUGUAUAUGAAUGUGUAUUGUAUAGGAUUGUGUGUGUGUGUAUAAAAUGUAUGUAUUACUGUGUGCCCAGAUUGGAUUGGCACUGUGUCCUGGGUAAAUGCUGCUCAAUGCAGUCCUCCAGGUGGACGGUUGUUUCCGUUUGAGAGUACGCUGUGCGCUAUUGGCUGCCGCUUCUUACUGGUUGUAGGUGAGGUCGUGCUGGAUUUCACUGACGAAUUUCUGGGCGUACUCGGGGUAAAGGCGCAGCACCUCGCGCAGACCCUUCAGGCUGAUGUACUGCAGAUCACAGUAGUAUUUGCAGUGCAGCAUUUACAAAGGACACAAGGCAGGAGGCAAGAGGACAAAUGAUGCUGGAAGAGGCAGAGAGCAAACAGAUGAGGAGAGAGAGAUGUGAUAGAGGAAGAUAAGAAAAGGAUGAUGGGAGGGUUAGAGGGUAGAGAAAGAAGUGUGAGUGUGUGUGUGUGUGUUUGAAGUUUCACAUUUACUGUACUCUCUAAGCUACAC
Molecule: long non-coding RNA, 621 nt
Organism: Astyanax mexicanus (Mexican tetra)
Lineage: Eukaryota; Metazoa; Chordata; Actinopteri; Characiformes; Acestrorhamphidae
Exons: 3
Source: RefSeq, a predicted model, not a curated record